CACGUAGGCGGAUGUGUCAGUCAGGGGUGAAAUCCCGGAGCUCAACUUCGGAACUGCCUCUGAUACAGCACGUCUUGAGUCCGGAAGAGGUGGGUGGAAUUCCUAGUGUAGAGGUGAAAUUCGUAGAUAUUAGGAAGAACACCGGUGGCGAAGGCGGCCCACUGGUCCGGUACUGACGCUGAGGUGCGAAAGCGUGGGGAGCAAACA
RNAcentral lists this ribosomal RNA (207 nucleotides) under uncultured bacterium. RNAcentral describes it as "partial 16S ribosomal RNA". It matches the Rfam family "Bacterial small subunit ribosomal RNA", at positions 568 to 774 of the family's 1533-position model. The record is from RNAcentral.